CAGCAAACCUGUCAAUAGCCACAUUCGUAUACAAGAUGGCGAGCGGCUCAGACGUACCUGCUGAUUUAGAGGCGAUUAGAAACAGGUUUGCCGGCGAAUGGAAGCUCAUGAACAGCGAGGGACUGGACGAGUAUCUUAAAUUCAUAGGUUUGAAUUUCCUUUUCCGUAAGGUUGCCGGUAAUGCUAGCUGCACUGUGAUCAUAUCCGUAGAGGAAAACAAGGUCCGACUCAUCACUAAGGGGCCCAAAACACAAGACCACGCUUUUAACCUGAACACAGAGGUGGACGAUUCGGACCCUGUAGGAAAUGAGAUGACAGCUGUAGUGACGUUUGAGGACGGUAAACUGGUGACAAACUCCAAACCAAGAAAUAAAUCCAAUGCCAAGGUCACAAAGGUCACACGAGAGGUCAUCGCAGGGGUCAAGGGCAAACCUGACGAAAUGAUUAUGACGGUGGAGGCAGGGACGUUGGUGAUGAAGAGAUUUUUCGUCAAACAGAACUGAUGGCUGUCCUAAAUGUGUGACAGAUGUCAUCCUUGUUGGCUAUGUGGAAUUUUCAGUACAGAGUUUUGGAAAUACUCUCCUAGUGAUAGUGACCCCGGAAGUAAACAACUGAUAGUGACCCCGGAAGUAAACAACUGAUAGUGACCCCGAUGUCCAUGAUAUCGAUUUGAUGACACUCAAUGCCUGACAUUUGAACUCAUUGACUACAUAUCUACAUAAAUAUGUCAUUUUGUGGAAUUCAAGAAAAAGUGCAAUCAAUUGUCGGAUGUAUUUUACUGUAUACAUCUGUUUUCAUUUUAGUGAAUUUUUUUUUUGAUAAUAAUAUUUUAAAGAUUUAUUUUCAUUUUAUACAAUGAUCCACAUUUUAAGUGUAAAAUAUGAUAUUUGUGCAAUAUAUCUGUUUAAAUUGAGGAAAUACAAGUACGAACUCUAAUUUCUUGCAUAAUAUUUGUGAUGAAAUAUAUUGAUUUUAUGCACGUCAGUCAAUAUAAUUUUGAAUCCAUAGUGGUUUUGGUAUUAACAUAUGUUUAUAGAUAUUCACGGAACAUGUUUAUCAGUUCCACAUUAACCAUUCCAUACUUAUAACGGACCAUGUAUCGUGGGCCUGAUGCGAGUAGCCUUCAAUCUUUAAAAUUAUCUCGGACUUCGUCAUUUACCAAGUCCGAUAUUGUUCGAGAACUGGGAGUAGGCAGUGAAGCAUUCACUUGACACAUUGUGUACAGGUGUACCUCCAUGUAGUACUAGUAAUGUCUUCUAGUCUAUUCUACUACGUCUCCGAUGUACAUUGUAAUAACGCCUGCCAUUGGUUAAUAACCAUAUGCCUGCUUGUCUUUGUUGAAAAAAUCAACUCUCCGUCUGGCAGGUGUAAAAAAGUGAUCUGUUCGACUUUAUAUUUCUUCGUUUAGUGAGGGUAUAAUCAUACGUGAUUGUAAGGUUGUCAAAUGUUGAUGUCAUGUGCUGAUGAGUGACGUCGAUAUCUAAAUUCUUUCUAUUAAAAUAUAUAUCUUGUACAAAA
RNA transcript from Mizuhopecten yessoensis (Yesso scallop), 1518 nucleotides. It is a transcript of the gene named fatty acid-binding protein, heart-like, with no coding region annotated. NCBI's taxonomy places the organism in Eukaryota, Metazoa, Mollusca, Bivalvia, Pectinida, Pectinidae. The record is from RefSeq and is a predicted model, not a curated record. The transcript is spliced from 5 exons.